GGGUCGUUAGCUCAGUCGGUAGAGCAGUUGACUUUUAAUCAAUUGGUCGCUGGUUCGAAUCCAGCACGACCCACCA
This 76-nucleotide transfer RNA is filed under the name Escherichia coli. RNAcentral's name for it is "tRNA-Lys". It matches the Rfam family "tRNA". From Rfam's summary of the family: Transfer RNA (tRNA) molecules are approximately 80 nucleotides in length. Their secondary structure includes four short double-helical elements and three loops (D, anti-codon, and T loops). Further hydrogen bonds mediate the characteristic L-shaped molecular structure. tRNAs have two regions of fundamental functional importance: the anti-codon, which is responsible for specific mRNA codon recognition, and the 3' end, to which the tRNAs corresponding amino acid is attached (by aminoacyl-tRNA synthetases). tRNAs cope with the degeneracy of the genetic code in two manners: having more than one tRNA (with a specific anti-codon) for a particular amino acid; and 'wobble' base-pairing, i.e. permitting non-standard base-pairing at the 3rd anti-codon position. The record is from RNAcentral. Lineage: Bacteria; Pseudomonadati; Pseudomonadota; Gammaproteobacteria; Enterobacterales; Enterobacteriaceae. RNAcentral also lists the same sequence under 217 other names.